RNAcentral lists this ribosomal RNA (373 nucleotides) under uncultured organism. RNAcentral describes it as "partial 16S ribosomal RNA". It matches the Rfam family "Bacterial small subunit ribosomal RNA", at positions 527 to 896 of the family's 1533-position model. The record is from RNAcentral.
GUAGGUGGCAAGCGUUGUCCGGAAUUAUUGGGCGUAAAGCGCGCGCAGGCGGUCCUUUAAGUCUGAUGUGAAAGCCCACGGCUCAACCGUGGAGGGUCAUUGGAAACCGGGGGACUUGAGUACAGAAGAGGAAAGCGGAAUUCCAAGUGUAGCGGUGAAAUGCGUAGAGAUUUGGAGGAACACCAGUGGCGAAGGCGGCUUUCUGGUCUGUAACUGACGCUGAGGCGCGAAAGCGUGGGGAGCAAACAGGAUUAGAUACCCUGGUAGUCCACGCCGUAAACGAUGAGUGCUAAGUGUUAGGGGGUUUCCCGCCCCCUUAGUGCUGCAGCUAACGCAUUAAGCACUCCGCCUGGGGAGUACGGCCGCAAGGCUA